This 518-nucleotide ribosomal RNA is filed under the name uncultured bacterium. Its description in RNAcentral is "partial 16S ribosomal RNA". It matches the Rfam family "Bacterial small subunit ribosomal RNA", at positions 28 to 523 of the family's 1533-position model. The record is from RNAcentral.
GACGAACGCUGGCGGCGUGCCUAACACAUGCAAGUCGAACGGAGAAAUUCAGCAAUGGAUUUCUUAGUGGCGAACGGGUGAGUAACGCGUAGACAACCUGCCUCCAAGAUGGGGACAACACCGCGAAAGUGGUGCUAAUACCGAAUGUUCUUUUUGUGGCGCAUGCCGGAAAAAGCAAAGGUGGCCUCUAUAUAAAAGCUACCGCUUGGAGAUGGGUCUGCGUCUGAUUAGCUAGUUGGUGAGGUAACGGCUCACCAAGGCGACGAUCAGUAGCCGGUCUGAGAGGAUGAACGGCCACACUGGGACUGAGACACGGCCCAGACUCCUACGGGAGGCAGCAGUGGGGAAUCUUCCGCAAUGGACGAAAGUCUGACGGAGCAACGCCGCGUGAGUGAAGAAGGUUUUCGGAUUGUAAAGCUCUGUCUUUUGGGACGAAUGUGCUCUUUGUAAAUAAUGAGGAGCAAUGACGGUACCGAAGGAGGAAGCCACGGCUAACUACGUGCCAGCCGCCGCCGUAA